This 1818-nucleotide ribosomal RNA is filed under the name Syncephalastrum racemosum. RNAcentral's name for it is "SSU rRNA". It matches the Rfam family "Eukaryotic small subunit ribosomal RNA". Lineage: Eukaryota; Fungi; Mucoromycota; Mucoromycetes; Mucorales; Syncephalastraceae. The record is from RNAcentral.
UCUGGUUGAUCCUGCCAGUAGUCAUAUGCUUGUCUCAAAGAUUAAGCCAUGCAUGUCUAAGUAUAAACUUUUAUACAGUGAAACUGCGAAUGGCUCAGUAAAUCAGUUAUGAUCUACCUGACAAAUUUCACUACUGGAUUUCCGUGGUAAUUCUAGAGCUAAUACAGUGCAUUCAAUCCCUUGAUGUUUUGAUGGGGGCACUAGUUAGAUUCAUAAGCCAAACCGCCAGGGCAACCUGGUAUUGCUUAGUCAUAACUAUUAAGCUGAUCGACCGCAAGGUCGACGGUUCAAUCGAAUUUCUGCCCUAUCAUUUGCUUUGUUGGUAGGAUAGAGGCUUACCAAGGCAGCAACGGGUAACGGGGAAUGAGGGUUCUAUUCCGGAGAGGGCGCCUGAGAAAUGGCGACCACAUCCAAGGAAGGCAGCAGGCGCGCAAAUUACCCAAUCCCGACACGGGGAGGUAGUGACAAAAAAUAACAAUGCCGGGUCAUUUUGGCCUGGCAAUUGGAAUGAGUACAGCUUAAAUCCUUUAACGAGGAUCCAUUGGAGGGCAAGUCUGGUGCCAGCAGCCGCGGUAAUUCCAGCUCCAAUAGCGUAUAUUGUGAUUGCUGCAGUUAAAACGUCUGUAGUCGAAGUGUAGGGCAGGAAAGGACCGGGUUGGCCAUUCAUUUGGUCUGACCCUUGUACGCCGCCCUCUAUCCAGCUUUUGCCAGGCUUAGUGAUUCGCGUUCACUGGUCUGUCGCCGAAGAGUGACUGGAGUUUACCAUGAGCAAAUCAGAGUGUUCAAAGCAGGCUUUUAUGCCUGAAUGUUAAAGCAUGGAAUAAUAAAACACGCCGAGUGCGUUAGUUAUUGGUUUCUAGCGCCCGAGAAUGAUGAAGAGGAACGGUUGGGGGCUUUUGUAUUUGGCCGCUAGAGGUGAAAUUCUUGGAUUGGCCAAAGACAAACUACUGCGAAAGCUUUAGACCCAGGACGUUUCCAUUGAUCAAGGACGAAAGCCAGGGGAUCGAAGGCGUUCAGAUAACGCCGUAGUCCUGGCCGUAAACGAUGCCGACUAGGGAUUGGAUUGGUUUAAAUAUACCAGUUCAGUACCUUAGCGAAAGUGAAAAAGUCUUUAGGCUCUGGAGGGAGUAUGGGACGCAAGGCUGAAACUUACAGGAAUUGACGGAAGGGUACCACCAGGAGUGGAGCCUGCGGCAUAAAAUUUGACUCAAUACGAGGAAAACUCACCAGGUCCAGACAUAAGAAGGAUUGACAGAUUGAAAGCUCUUUUCAGGAUUCUAUGGGCGGUGGUGCAUGGCCGUUGUUAGUUUGUUGGAAUUGAUCCUGUAAAUAGGAUGAAGUCUAAUGACAAACGAGCUUUCAUCCAAGGUUACCUGGGCUUGAUCCUAGGUUUCUUGUUUGGAGACUAUUGGCUUUAAGCCAAAGGAAGUUGGAGGCAAUAACAGGUCUGUGAUGCCCUUUGAUGUUUCUGGGCCGCACGCGCGCUACACUGACCAAGACAACGAGUUUGUUUUAGCCCUGGCCGAAAGGUCUGGGAAAUCUUUUGAAACUUGGUCGUGCUGGGAAUUGAGCAUUGCAAUAGUUGCUCAUCAACGAGGAAUUCCUAGUAAGCACGACUUAUCAGGUCGUGCUGAUUACGUCCCUGCCCUUUGUACAUAUCGCCCGUCGUUGUUACCGAUUGAGUGGUUCAUGGCGAGUACGAGAGACUUGUAGAAUACGGGCUGGAAACAGCCGACUUUAUGGGAAACUCGUGCAAGCUAUGCCGUCUAGAGGAAGCAAACAUCACAACAAGGUUUUCCGUAGGUGAACUUGCGGAAG